Long non-coding RNA from Myodes glareolus (Bank vole), 964 nucleotides. RefSeq lists it as uncharacterized. NCBI's taxonomy places the organism in Eukaryota, Metazoa, Chordata, Mammalia, Rodentia, Cricetidae. The record is from RefSeq and is a predicted model, not a curated record.
GACGUCUCCCGGCUACGCCAAGGGCGCGGCGCCGCGGGGGGACGAGCAGCUCUCUCCGACAUGGAGACAGACAGCCAGGGCUGGGGAGGUUCCGAGACGAAGGGCCCGAGGAAGCCCGCAAGACGGGCGCCUCGGCCGCCUCAUCCGGGCCCACCGGCCAUGCAGUGCAUGCUGGGGGUUGUAGUUGAGUGAGGGAGCUCUGCUGAUGGGUUGCACUGUGCAGGGGCGUGGGAGGCCAGUCCUGUUGCGCAGUGACAGGAAAGCUCUGUGCGUCUACAUCCUUGCUGUCACCGCAAUUCGUUCUGCCACUACUUCGGCUAAAUGUUUACUCUUAGCCCUAGAUAGAUAGCCCCAAGCCUUCUAUUUCUGUGUCAUAGAAACAAACAAGGAGAAUCUGCUAUGACCAAGAGCUGUGGAAACAAUGACCUUUGGAAGGUGGCAUAAUAGCUGCCGUGAAUUGUGUGGAAACACUCUCAACUGCAUGAACGCACACGAAGAUACACAAAGAUCAACAGUGACGGGGAAAAGGGCUUUCCUUUUCUCGUCGCCUAGGAGAAACAAUGGCACAAAACAGAGGCCUCCGUGGAUCUGGGGGUCAGUAGCUGAAGCCAUAUGACCCAGCUUCUCAUAAAGCUUCGUGACCUCACUGGGCUGAGAAACGGUAGGAAAUGACAGUUUGGCUUUAUUUUUAUUUCUGCCCUUCAAAUUCCAUAAACUUUUUAGAGAAGAAAGCUCGCCUGUGGUCCGGACAUGGAAAAGUAUUUCAUGAGCAAAUGUUCAGACUGCCAGAUUGACUGAAGACGUUCCUCUAAGUAUCCCAUCAUUGGGGCCACAAAGGCCUGCUCUUGGGCCAGGUCACUGGACUCCUGGGGUUCUGGUGAGGUUGCAAUGAAGCUCUUCAAGGAGAGGUUGGUUGGUUGGUUGGUUUGACUGGGAGGAGCUAUGUCUAAUCUGCACGGCCAUG